Small nuclear RNA from Cervus hanglu yarkandensis (Yarkand deer), 106 nucleotides. The record is from Ensembl. Lineage: Eukaryota; Metazoa; Chordata; Mammalia; Artiodactyla; Cervidae.
GUACUCGCUUCCGCAGCACGUAUACUAAAUUGGAAUGAUAAAGAGAAGAUUAGCUUGGCCCCUGUGCAAGGAUGACAUGCAGAUUCAGGAAGCGUUCUUGAAUUUU